AAACUUGCCUUGCGCCGGAUUCAAAGUGAUCAAGAAUGCUCUGACCCCGGGUGGGGGCUCACCAUUGCACCUCGGUGGGUUGAAACUCGCGACGGAUACUAAUUGAGUGCGCUCGGGCGUGUAGGUUUUGUUAGUGGGGAGACAUCACGGUCCUCCCUU
Molecule: small nuclear RNA, 159 nt
Filed under: Trichobilharzia regenti
Lineage: Eukaryota; Metazoa; Platyhelminthes; Trematoda; Strigeidida; Schistosomatidae
Description: U1 spliceosomal RNA
Rfam family: U1 spliceosomal RNA
About the family: U1 is a small nuclear RNA (snRNA) component of the spliceosome (involved in pre-mRNA splicing). Its 5' end forms complementary base pairs with the 5' splice junction, thus defining the 5' donor site of an intron.
Source: Rfam by way of RNAcentral